RNAcentral lists this ribosomal RNA (253 nucleotides) under uncultured bacterium. Its description in RNAcentral is "partial 16S ribosomal RNA". It matches the Rfam family "Bacterial small subunit ribosomal RNA", at positions 524 to 776 of the family's 1533-position model. The record is from RNAcentral.
UACGUAGGGGGCAAGCGUUGUCCGGAUUUAUUGGGCGUAAAGAGCGUGUAGGCGGCUUUACAGGUCCGUUGUGAAAACUCGAGGCUCAACCUCGAGACGCCGGUGGAAACCGUAAGGCUAGAGUCCGGAAGAGGAGAGUGGAAUUCCUGGUGUAGCGGUGAAAUGCGCAGAUAUCAGGAGGAACACCGGUGGCGAAGGCGGAUCUCUGGGCCAUAACUGACGCUGAGAAGCGAAAGCAUGGGGAGCGAACAGG